Long non-coding RNA from Salvelinus namaycush (lake trout), 373 nucleotides. RefSeq lists it as uncharacterized. The record is from RefSeq and is a predicted model, not a curated record. The transcript is spliced from 3 exons. Lineage: Eukaryota; Metazoa; Chordata; Actinopteri; Salmoniformes; Salmonidae.
GGCAGGUCGUGUGGUUUACCACUUCCUGGUUUGCCCGCACAUCUAGGCUUCAAAAGGAACACUUCUGGGCUGGCGGGAUGACCGUGCUCAGUCAGCGUUUUACUGCGGUUAAGAACCGAGAAAGAGCUGGGCUGAGGGAAACCAAAGGGCUAUCACAGCUAGACCACCAGGCAGACUACCAGCACACAGACUGGGAUCUGUUCAACCCUUCGCUCCCAGACGGUGAUGGUGGCGCUCUAGGAGCCAGCCAACUGUUAUUGGAGUUUAUGAUCCCUGUGCCAAAGGAGGCACACAUACCUGGCCAUUAGGUUGAACGUCAGAGAGCAAACUUCCACUGUUUACAGUAGUUUACAUCAGAUGAGGUUAGAAGGAG